UACGUAGGGGGCAAGCGUUGUCCGGAAUCAUUGGGCGUAAAGAGCGUGUAGGCGGCUCGAUAAGUCUGCUGUGAAAGUCCAGGGCUCAACCCUGGAAGGCCGGUGGAAACUGUCGGGCUAGAGUCCGGAAGAGGCGAGUGGAAUUCCUGGUGUAGCGGUGAAAUGCGCAGAUAUCAGGAGGAACACCGGUGGCGAAGGCGGGUCUCUGGGCCGAUACUGACGCUGAGGAGCGAAAGCGUGGGGAGCGAACAGG
RNAcentral lists this ribosomal RNA (253 nucleotides) under uncultured bacterium. RNAcentral's name for it is "partial 16S ribosomal RNA". It matches the Rfam family "Bacterial small subunit ribosomal RNA", at positions 524 to 776 of the family's 1533-position model. The record is from RNAcentral.